This 378-nucleotide unclassified non-coding RNA is filed under the name uncultured Gammaproteobacteria bacterium. RNAcentral's name for it is "contains 16S-23S intergenic spacer region". Lineage: Bacteria; Pseudomonadati; Pseudomonadota; Gammaproteobacteria. The record is from RNAcentral.
UCCGGUUUGUCACCGGCAGUCUCAUUAGAGUGCCCAACUAAAUGUAGCAACUAAUGACAAGGGUUGCGCUCGUUGCGGGACUUAACCCAACACCUCACGGCACGAGCUGACGACAGCCAUGCAGCACCUGUGUGUCGGCUCCCUUUCGGGCACGCCUCCCUCUCGAGAGGCUUCCGACCAUGUCAAGGGUAGGUAAGGUUUUUCGCGUUGCAUCGAAUUAAUCCACAUCAUCCACCGCUUGUGCGGGUCCCCGCCAAUUCCUUUGAGUUUCAAUCUUGCGAUCGUACUUCCCAGGCGGCGAACUUAACGCGUUAGCUUCGAUACUGAGAGCCUAGUUGCUCCCAACAUCCAGUUCGCAUCGUUUACGGCAUGGACUAC